This 441-nucleotide ribosomal RNA is filed under the name uncultured bacterium. RNAcentral's name for it is "partial 16S ribosomal RNA". It matches the Rfam family "Bacterial small subunit ribosomal RNA", at positions 338 to 795 of the family's 1533-position model. The record is from RNAcentral.
CCUACGGGUGGCAGCAGUAGGGAAUUUUGCGCAAUGGGGGAAACCCUGACGCACCACCGCCGCUUGCACUCUUCCUCCCUUCUUUUUUUCCCUCUCUUUCCUUUUUUCCUCACCCUGACGGUACCCACAGAGGAAGCACCGGCUAACUCCGUGCCAGCAGCCGCGGUAAUACGGGGGGUGCAAGCGUUGUCCGGAAUCAUUGGGCGUAAAGAGUUCGUAGGUGGCACGUUAAGUCUGGUGUUAAAGGCGGAAGCUCAACUUCCGUAGGGCACUGGAUACUGGCGAGCUUGAAUGCGGUAGAGGUAAAGGGAAUUCCUGGUGUAGCGGUGAAAUGCGUAGAUAUCAGGAGGAACAUCGGUGGCGUAAGCGCUUUACUGGGCCGUAAUUGACACUGAGGAACGAAAGCCGGGGUAGCAAAUGGGAUUAGAGAAAAGGGUAGUC